ACAAGCAGCGGAGCGUGUGGUUUAAUUCGUUGCUACACGAAGAACGUUACCUGGGUUUGACAUAUAGGUUGUAGGGAACUGAAAAGGGACCGACCCUUCGGGGAGCCUAUACAGGUGUUGCAUGGCUGUCGUCAGCUCGUGUCGUGAGGUGUUCGGUUAAGUCCGCUAACGAGCGCAACCCUCGUCGUAUGUUAUAUGUGUCAUACGAGACUGCCGGUAAAAAGCCGGAGGAAGGUGAGGAUGAUGUCAAGUCAGCAUGACCUUUAUAUCCAGGGCUACACACACGCUACAAUGGUCUGUACAAUGGGUAGCCAAGCCGCGAGGCGGAGCCAAUCCUGAAAGCAGGCCUCAGUUCAGAUUGCAGUCUGCAACUCGACUGCAUGAAGCCGGAGUUGCUAGUAACCGCAGGUCAGCAAUACUGCGGUGAAUACGUUCUCGAGUCUU
Molecule: ribosomal RNA, 444 nt
Filed under: uncultured Anaerolineaceae bacterium
Lineage: Bacteria; Bacillati; Chloroflexota; Anaerolineae; Anaerolineales; Anaerolineaceae
Description: bacterial SSU rRNA
Rfam family: Bacterial small subunit ribosomal RNA
Source: RNAcentral